UUUAAUAUGAGAGUUUGAUCCUGGCUCAGGAUGAACGCUGGCGGCGUGCUUAACACAUGCAAGUCGAACGAAGCACUUUACUUGAUCUCUUCGGAGUGAUUGUUCUGUGACUGAGUGGCGGACGGGUGAG
Molecule: ribosomal RNA, 130 nt
Filed under: Roseburia porci
Lineage: Bacteria; Bacillati; Bacillota; Clostridia; Lachnospirales; Lachnospiraceae
Description: partial 16S ribosomal RNA
Rfam family: Bacterial small subunit ribosomal RNA
Source: RNAcentral